AAUAAUGACCCCAAGCGAACUUCCAAGAAAAGUCUCUAAGCUUCAGGUAUAUACAGCCCGUACCGUAAACCGACACAGGUAGUCGAGGAGAGCAUCCUAAGGCGCUCGAGUGAAUCGUGGUUAAGGAACUAGGCAAAAUGGUCUCGUAACUUCGGGAGAAGAGACGCUCCGCUUUUAAACGGAGCCGCAGUGAAGAGGCCCAGGCGACUGUUUAGCAAAAACACAGGACUCUGCAAACUCGUAAGAUGAAGUAUAGGGUCUGACACCUGCCCGGUGCUGGAAGGUUAAGGAAGGGGGUUAGCACUUCGGUGCGAAGCUCUUGACUGAAGCCCCAGUAAACGGCGGCCGUAACUAUAACGGUCCUAAGGUAGCGAAAUUCCUUGUCGGGUAAGUUCCGACCUGCACGAAUGGUGUAACGAUCUGGGCACUGUCUCAACCACGAGCUCGGUGAAAUUGAAGUAUCGGUGAAGAUGCCGAUUACCCGCAACGGGACGAAAAGACCCCGUGCACCUUUACUACAACUUCACAUUGUGCUUGAAUACAGGAUGUGUAGGAUAGGUGGGAGACUUUGAAGCUUAUACGCCAGUAUAGGUGGAGUCAACCUUGAAAUACCACCCUUCCUGUAUUUAGGUUCUAACCCCGCGAAAACGGGGGACAUUGUGUGGUGGGUAGUUUGACUGGGGUGGUCGCCUCCAAAAGAGUAACGGAGGCUCGCAAAGGUACCCUCAGUACCGUUGGUAAUGGUACGAAGAGCGUAUAAGUAUAAGGGUGCUUGACUGAGAGAGAGACAUCUCGAUCAGGUAGGAAACUAGGCUUAAGUGAUCCGGUGGUUCCGUAUGGAAGGGCCAUCGCUCAAAGGAUAAAAGGUACGCCGGGAUAACAGGCUUAUCUCCCCCAAGAGCUCAUAUCGACGGGGAGGUUUGGCACCUCGAUGUCGGCUCGUCACAUCCUGGGGCUGGAGAAGGUCCCAAGGGUUGGGCUGUUCGCCCAUUAAAGUGGCACGCGAGCUGGGUUCAGAACGUCGCAAGACAGUUCGGUCUCUAUCUGUUGUGGGCGCAGGAAUAUUGAAGAGAUCUGACUCUAGUACGAGAGGACCGAGUUGGACGAACCGCUAGUGUACCAGUUGUGUCGCCAGAUGCAUUGCUGGGUAGCUACGUUCGGAAUGGAUAAGCGCUGAAAGCAUCUAAGCGCGAAGCCAACUCUAAGAUGAGUAUUCCAU
This 1219-nucleotide ribosomal RNA is filed under the name metagenome. RNAcentral describes it as "bacterial LSU rRNA". It matches the Rfam family "Bacterial large subunit ribosomal RNA", at positions 1586 to 2816 of the family's 2925-position model. The record is from RNAcentral.